GCAUCUUCUUGGGUUAAAAACUCCGGUGGUUAAAGAUGGGCAUGCGUUGUAUUAGCUAGUUGGUGAGGUAACGGCUCACCAAGGCAACGAUACAUAGGGGGACUGAGAGGUUAACCCCCCACAUUGGUACUGAGACACGGACCAAACUCCUACGGGAGGCAGCAGUGAGGAAUAUUGGUCAAUGGACGCAAGUCUGAACCAGCCAUGCCGCGUGCAGGAAGACGGCUCUAUGAGUUGUAAACUGCUUUUGUACUAGGGUAAACGCUUCUACGUGUAGGAGCCUGAAAGUAUAGUACGAAUAAGGAUCGGCUAACUCCGUGCCAGCAGCCGCGGUAAUACGGAGGAUCCAAGCGUUAUCCGGAUUUAUUGGGUUUAAAGGGUGCGUAGGCGGUUUGAUAAGUUAGAGGUGAAAUACCGGGGCUCAACUCCGGAACUGCCUCUAAUACUGUUGAACUAGAGAGUAGUUGCGGUAGGCGGAAUGUAUGGUGUAGCGGUGAAAUGCUUAGAGAUCAUACAGAACACCGAUUGCGAAGGCAGCUUACCAAACUAUAUCUGACGUUGAGGCACGAAAGCGUGGGGAGCAAACAGGAUUAGAUACCCUGGUAGUCCACGCAGUAAACGAUGAUAACUCGUUGUCGGCGAUACACAGUCGGUGACU
This 658-nucleotide ribosomal RNA is filed under the name uncultured bacterium. RNAcentral's name for it is "bacterial SSU rRNA". It matches the Rfam family "Bacterial small subunit ribosomal RNA", at positions 188 to 848 of the family's 1533-position model. The record is from RNAcentral.